UACGAAGGGGGCUAGCGUUGCUCGGAAUCACUGGGCGUAAAGCGCACGUAGGCGGAUCUUUAAGUCAGGGGUGAAAUCCUGGAGCUCAACUCCAGAACUGCCUUUGAUACUGAAGAUCUUGAGUCCGGGAGAGGUGAGUGGAACUGCGAGUGUAGAGGUGAAAUUCGUAGAUAUUCGCAAGAACACCAGUGGCGAAGGCGGCUCACUGGCCCGAUACUGACGCUGAGGCACGAAAGCGUGGGGAGCAAACAGG
RNAcentral lists this ribosomal RNA (253 nucleotides) under uncultured bacterium. RNAcentral describes it as "partial 16S ribosomal RNA". It matches the Rfam family "Bacterial small subunit ribosomal RNA", at positions 524 to 776 of the family's 1533-position model. The record is from RNAcentral.